CACACGUGUGACCACUGUGACCCAGGCUCCGUAUUCAUAAACGUACUUAAGUCAAUGUAUGAUACUUGUUUAUGUUCUUUAAUUACGUAUUUAGAUAUCAUACAUUGACUUAAGUACAUUUAUGAAUACGGAGCCAGGACCGUUAUGUAUGGGUAAUUCAUUUACGGCACAUGACCACCACGGCAACCUCUACUGCUUCAGCACUACAGGUUUCCGUAGGAUAUCGGCUCAGACGGUGCAGAACCGACUACGUGAGGCAGUUAUCCGAGCCUGUAAGAGGUGUCAUUUUGACUGAACACCAUCGUUAUGCUGCAUACUGCAUACAGGACAUGGAUGGAUUCGGUGGUGGUAGUGUGAUGAUGUGGGCAGAAUGCAGGAAAUUGAAUUUCAGGACAUCUAGUUUUGACAGCACGUUAUGUAUAUAGUAAUAUAAAACCGCAAAAGAUUCUUGCGACAUGCGGCAUUGGUGUUGCUCGUGCUUGGUAAAGAUUCAAAACAUUCGACAAGUCCCAUCCCAGCUGGACUUCAACGAUCGGAGACAGAAUCCAAACAUUUCUUGGGAAGUAUGCAGAAACGUAAAGUGAGAAAACGCACCUUGGGAGAAGGAAUAAUUUAUGAUCACCCGCCACCAGGGUAUGCCCCCGAAACUUCCGGGACCUCGGACGGUGUAGGGAAUAGGAACAAAGGGCAAUAAAAUGAAUAUAUAAACCUAA
RNA transcript from Gigantopelta aegis, 713 nucleotides. It is a transcript of the gene named balbiani ring protein 6-like, with no coding region annotated. The transcript is spliced from 3 exons. The record is from RefSeq and is a predicted model, not a curated record. Lineage: Eukaryota; Metazoa; Mollusca; Gastropoda; Neomphalida; Peltospiridae.